This 2137-nucleotide long non-coding RNA is filed under the name Nasonia vitripennis (jewel wasp). Its description in RNAcentral is "uncharacterized LOC116418385, transcript variant X1". The record is from RNAcentral. Lineage: Eukaryota; Metazoa; Arthropoda; Insecta; Hymenoptera; Pteromalidae.
CCCAAUCGCAUUUAUACAUCAAGAUGGCUGCCCGCUGCGGCGCUGCUGCGGCUGCGCGUCAGUGCAUAUAUGUGGGGGCCCCCUCCGAGCACCACCAAGGGACCGACGCGCCACCUGGCGCACCACCACGCCGUGGCGAGCGUGAGGCGAGCUUAGGCGCUUAUCAGUCUCGGCCUGGCCGCCGAUCUGGACAGACCUUUCGGUCUUACGCCUUAUUGUUUUCUACAGUCGUUAAUAAUAUAAGUUGUUUGUCAUUACACGCCAAGUCAUCAUUUAUUAAACUGGUCUGUCCUAUUCCUGCCGUAUCUCCAAUCGGAGCACAGAAGGGACUCUUUCAUUUCCAAAUAUAUGCAUAGCAUUUGCGAGGGAAAAUCCGUUACUGUUACUGCACAUGUGCCUACGCCAUUACUAGAUGCACCACGCCGUGCAAUUUCUUAUACUUAAUACUUAAUUAAUUAAUACAUAAAAAUAAGAUCUUCAAAAAGUGAAUGUUUUAGAGAAUAGCAGCGUUUCUAGAGACAAAGGAAAUAUCAGAUCGGUCUCUUUCAAGCCACAGCUGGUCAUGAGAGCCCUAUAAAUAUAUAGUAUUAUUACGACAGUGAAAAGCAGUGUUUUUAGCUCCGACAUCCCCUUAAUAUGCAUUUCAUGUCCAUGUAUCGAGAAAGAUUGUGUAAAUAGCAAUUAAAUUGAUAUACAUUUAUAUUAUUAAUUUCAGAGCACCUCCUAAACGUUCUAAAUUCACUCCGGUAGUGCCACAUUUCGUGGAUCCAGAGUAAUAUGAUGAUGCCAUAAUAUAACUAUUUAUUUUACUGCUAAAUUAUUUUAUAAAAUUGAGAAAUAAUCAUAAACUUUUGAAAUAAUAUUCUGUUAUUUAUUUAUAAAAACCCUGGUAAUAUACAAAAUAAAAAUUUCUGGAUAUUAUGAAGAUUGUAUAUAGUUAUAAAAUUUCAAGGAAUUUCAUUAAAUAUUUAGUUGGCGUUCCGGUUGGCGUCUACCUGCAGUACAGCAAAGAUUUCCAGAUCAAGAACCAGUACAUAUUAUAGAAGAUAAUAGCCCUAUUCAUACGGCUAGGCGAAUCAGGCAAUUGUACGAAGCACAUCCACGUCUCAAUCGACUUCCUUGGCCUGCAAGAUCUCCAGAUUUAAACCCGAUAGAAAAUUUGUGAUCAGAAAUGUUGACGGAUUGGACUCCAGAUAGGGCAACAAAUCAUGGCCAACUCCGUCGUGAGGUCACAAAAGCUUGGAACAAUUUAAGAAACAAGCAAAACUAUUGCCAAAAUCUAAUCAAUGCAAUGCCGAGAAGGAUGCAAGCCGUAAUUGAAGCUAGAGAUAAUUAUUUCAGCAUCCGAUGCAUUGCUUAACUAUUUUAACAAAACUUUAAUUUAUACGAAAAGUAAAAUAAGAAUAAAAAGCUAAUAUUUUUGAAACGUAUAACCUAAAAUUAAAAUUAAUUAAUUAUAAACUUUUUAAAAAUAUUGAAAUAAUUAAAAAACUAUUAAUUUUGAACCAUCAUCUAUUUACUUGCUAUCCGAAUUUUUAAAAGAGCACUAUAAUUAGGAUGCAGCGUUUCGCCACAGUGCGGUGCUGUGAAAAUGGCAGCACGCGAUUUUCAGUUGUUUGAAAAUUAUUGCUACCUGCAAAAAUUCAGUAGACGAGAUCGGGAAGCUUAAUUGUUAUUUAAAAAGUUAAUUGUUGAAGAAAAUGAGGGCUGAAGAUAUAGCAAUUGCUGCGCGAGUGAGAGAGCAUCCCAUGCUCUACGAUAAAAAUCACCCGUAUAACCAAAAUACGUAUCUGAAGGCAGAGGCCUAAUAGAUGAUCAGUGAUCAAUUGGGGUUAGAUGUUAAUUUUGUCUAUCAGAGAUGGAACUGCCUAAGAAAGAGAUAUGGAUACCUCCAUCGGCUUCUUAUCGGAGGGAGGAAGGUUGGGACGUUCACCGAGUCCUCUAGAAGAGUGCUGGUGGACCUACAUUUUUUAUUUAAUUUCACGCAGCGUCAGGAAAGCUUUAAUAAAAAUGCAAUUCGCGAAAUUCAACAGCACGAAGAAAAUGUAAAUAGAAGGGUUAAUAUUAGAUAGAAUAAAUCAUUCAAUUUGAUGAUUGUAAAGAAGUAGUAAAUAAAUAAAUAAUCUAUUUCUGUUAA